GGGUGAUUAGCUCAGCUGGGAGAGCACCUCCCUUACAAGGAGGGGGUCGGCGGUUCGAUCCCGUCAUACACCCACCA
RNAcentral lists this transfer RNA (77 nucleotides) under Escherichia coli O157:H7 str. G5101. RNAcentral's name for it is "tRNA-Val". It matches the Rfam family "tRNA". Rfam says of the family: Transfer RNA (tRNA) molecules are approximately 80 nucleotides in length. Their secondary structure includes four short double-helical elements and three loops (D, anti-codon, and T loops). Further hydrogen bonds mediate the characteristic L-shaped molecular structure. tRNAs have two regions of fundamental functional importance: the anti-codon, which is responsible for specific mRNA codon recognition, and the 3' end, to which the tRNAs corresponding amino acid is attached (by aminoacyl-tRNA synthetases). tRNAs cope with the degeneracy of the genetic code in two manners: having more than one tRNA (with a specific anti-codon) for a particular amino acid; and 'wobble' base-pairing, i.e. permitting non-standard base-pairing at the 3rd anti-codon position. The record is from RNAcentral. Lineage: Bacteria; Pseudomonadati; Pseudomonadota; Gammaproteobacteria; Enterobacterales; Enterobacteriaceae.